Molecule: unclassified non-coding RNA, 328 nt
Filed under: soil metagenome
Description: partial contains 5.8S ribosomal RNA, internal transcribed spacer 2, and large subunit ribosomal RNA
Rfam family: 5.8S ribosomal RNA (bases 1-120)
Source: RNAcentral
GAUGAAGAACGCAGCGAAAUGCGAUAAGUAAUGUGAAUUGCAGAAUUCAGUGAAUCAUCGAAUCUUUGAACGCACAUUGCGCCCUCUGGUAUUCCGGGGGGCAUGCCUGUUCGAGCGUCAUUAUAACCACUCAAGCUCUCGCUUGGUAUUGGGGUUCGCGGUUCCGCGGCCCCUAAAAUCAGUGGCGGUGCCUGUCGGCUCUACGCGUAGUAAUACUCCUCGCGAUUGAGUCCGGUAGGUCUACUUGCCAGCAACCCCAAUUUUUACAGGUUGACCUCGGAUCAGGUAGGGAUACCCGCUGAACUUAAGCAUAUCAAUAAGCGGAGGA